UAACGACUCUCGGCAACGGAUAUCUCGGCUCUCGCAUCGAUGAAGAACGUAGCGAAAUGCGAUACUUGGUGUGAAUUGCAGAAUCCCGUGAACCAUCGAGUCUUUGAACGCAAGUUGCGCCCGAAGCCAGUAGGCCGAGGGCACGCCUGCCUGGGCGUCUCACA
This 164-nucleotide ribosomal RNA is filed under the name Xantolis cambodiana. RNAcentral describes it as "5.8S ribosomal RNA". It matches the Rfam family "5.8S ribosomal RNA". From Rfam's summary of the family: 5.8S ribosomal RNA (5.8S rRNA) is a component of the large subunit of the eukaryotic ribosome. It is transcribed by RNA polymerase I as part of the 45S precursor that also contains 18S and 28S rRNA. Functionally, it is thought that 5.8S rRNA may be involved in ribosome translocation. Lineage: Eukaryota; Viridiplantae; Streptophyta; Magnoliopsida; Ericales; Sapotaceae. The record is from RNAcentral.